ACGAACGCUGGCGGCGUGCUUAACACAUGCAAGUCGAACGGAAAGGCCCCUUUGGGGGUACUCGAGUGGCGAACGGGUGAGUAACACGUGAGUAACCUGCCCUUGACUUCGGGAUAACUUCAGGAAACUGGGGCUAAUACCGGAUAGGAAUCCUUGCUGCAUGGUGGGGGUUGGAAAGCUUCGGCGGUUUUGGAUGGACUCGCGGCUUAUCAGCUUGUUGGUGGGGUAGUGGCUUACCAAGGCUUUGGCGGGUAGCCGGCCUGAGAGGGCGACCGGCCACAUUGGGACUGAGAUACGGCCCAGACUCCUACGGGAGGCAGCAGUGGGGAAUAUUGCACAAUGGGCGGAAGCCUGAUGCAGCAACGCCGCGUGCGGGAUGACGGCCUUCGGGUUGUAAACCGCUUUCAGCAGGGGCGAAGCUUGUGGUGACGGUACCUGCAGAAGAAGCACCGGCUAACUACGUG
RNAcentral lists this ribosomal RNA (464 nucleotides) under uncultured bacterium. Its description in RNAcentral is "partial 16S ribosomal RNA". It matches the Rfam family "Bacterial small subunit ribosomal RNA", at positions 29 to 507 of the family's 1533-position model. The record is from RNAcentral.